GACGAACGCUGGCGGCGUGCUUAACACAUGCAAGUCGAACGGAAAGGCCUCUUUCGGGGGGUACUCGAGUGGCGAACGGGUGAGUAACACGUGAGUAACCUGCCCUUGACUUUGGGAUAACUUCAGGAAACUGGGGCUAAUACCGGAUAGGAGCUCCUGCUGCAUGGUGGGGGUUGGAAAGUUUCGGCGGUUGGGGAUGGACUCGCGGCUUAUCAGCUUGUUGGUGGGGUAGUGGCUUACCAAGGCUUUGACGGGUAGCCGGCCUGAGAGGGUGACCGGCCACAUUGGGACUGAGAGACGGCCCAGACUCCUACGGGAGGCAGCAGUGGGGAAUAUUGCACAAUGGGUGGAAGCCUGAUGCAGCAACGCCGUGUGCGGGAGGACGGCCUUCGGGUUGUAAACCGCUUUCGCUCAUGACGAAGCUUUGUGUGACGGUAGUGGGUAAAGAAGCACCGGCUAACUACGUG
Molecule: ribosomal RNA, 467 nt
Filed under: uncultured bacterium
Lineage: Bacteria
Description: partial 16S ribosomal RNA
Rfam family: Bacterial small subunit ribosomal RNA
Source: RNAcentral